GAUCCUACGGGGCGCAGCAGUGAGGAAUAUUGGUCAAUGGGCGCAAGCCUGAACCAGCCAAGUCGCGUGAGGGAAGACGGCCCUACGGGUUGUAAACCUCUUUUGCCGGGGAGCAAGCCUGAGCACGUGUGCCCAGGCGGAGAGUACCCGGAGAAAAAGCAUCGGCUAACUCCGUGCCAGCAGCCGCGGUAAUACGGAGGAUGCGAGCGUUAUCCGGAUUCAUUGGGUUUAAAGGGUGCGCAGGCGGGCCUUUAAGCCGGCGGUGAAAACGCGGGGGUCAACCCCGCGGAGCCG
This 294-nucleotide ribosomal RNA is filed under the name uncultured bacterium. RNAcentral's name for it is "partial 16S ribosomal RNA". It matches the Rfam family "Bacterial small subunit ribosomal RNA", at positions 335 to 626 of the family's 1533-position model. The record is from RNAcentral.